Molecule: long non-coding RNA, 1795 nt
Organism: Beta vulgaris subsp. vulgaris (sugar beet)
Lineage: Eukaryota; Viridiplantae; Streptophyta; Magnoliopsida; Caryophyllales; Amaranthaceae
Exons: 6
Source: RefSeq, a predicted model, not a curated record
UUUGAAAAAUAUUUAAAAAAGCAAUUUAUCUAACUUUGCCCUAUUUGAAAAUUAGUUAAGAGGGCAAAAUACUGAAUUUGUCCUCCUUGGUUAAGGAAGGAAAAAAAAAAAAAAAGGCCAUGUGAGAGCUUUACCAUACUUGCUUUAAUACUUUCUCCAUUAUCCCCUAAAAAGAGAUCAAUACAAUCACGGAUUUUUAGCUCUUACAUGCAUGUUCAUUACUUCCAAUAAUUUCAGAUUUUCUCUCUCUUUUCAAUCUCUCAAUCAACUUUUAAUUCAAUUUCUCUCUCUUUUCAAUCUCUCAAUCAACUUUUGUUCAAUCUAAAUGCAGUCGAUGGAGUUCGCUUCAAUCGAUUUCAUCAGUUCGUACAUCUGAGAAUUUUCAUGAUUUAUGGCGAUUUAUCUUGUCACAUUAUCUUGUCACAUCAUCAAUCUAUGCUAAAUGCUUUAAUGUGGAGAUGCAAGUAGGAAUGGCAACGGGUCGGACUUGGACCGGAUUAUGCAUAAUCCGACUCCGACCCUACAGAAAGUCGGAUUUUAAAUCCGAGCCCGAGUCCGACAUUCGACUUUGAAAAUCCGAAUCCGACCCGACUUGAAAUCCGAACAUCCGACUCCGAGAUCCGACCCGACUUAAAAUUCGGACAUCCGACUUAAAAUCCGAACAUCCGACUCCGAACCUGAUCCAACUUAUUUUUCUUCCAAUUUUUUAUAAUAAAAUAGUCUUCUAUAAUACAAUAAUUUAAUCAUUAUAAUUUAUUCUAAUUAUCAUAUGGAAAUCUUAUAUGGUACAAAUAAUCUAAUUAUUAUUAUUAUUUUUAACAAUCAUUUUUUCUAUGGGAAAAACCUAUAUAAUACAAUUGGCUGAAAGUUGAAGUCAGAUUAUACAUAAAUAAUACAUUACAUAAAUAAGAAAAAAGGAUUGAUUGACUCAAAGUCGGAGUCGGAUUCGCAUGUCGGAUUAUUUUAUGAGAUCCGACUCCGACCCUCCUUCGACUCGGAGUCGGAUUUUUUAAACGGAGUCGAAGUCGGAUUACUUUUUUGUCGGAGUCAAUUCGGAUUUUUUCUUUCGGAUCGGAGCGGACUGGGGUCGGAUUCGGACUGAAUUGCCAUCCCUAGAUGCAAGGAUGACGCCUAUGAUUGAAUCAAAAUUAUUCACAUUGAAGAAAGCAAAGAAGGUGGUGGUGGACUGGUGGUAGGCGGUGGCUAUAUUGGCAUGGAAGUUGCUGCAGCAGCUGUGGGAUGGAAUCUUGAUACUACGAUCAUAUUCCCUGAAGACCAUCUUUUGCAAAGAUUAUUUACUCCUUCACUAGCUAAGAAGUACGAAGAGCUGUAUGAGCAAAGUGGUGUGAAAUUUGUGAAGCUAGGGUAAUAUGAUUAAAAACCUAGAAGCUGGUUCUGAUGGAAGAGUGGCUGCAGUGAAACUUGAAAAUGGCUCUACCAUAGAAGCAGAUGUUAUAGUUAUUGGUAUUGGUGCCAAACCUGCUGUUGGUCCUUUCGAAAAAGUUGGCUUAAAUACGACUGAUCAUGGUCAACAUGGCUAGUUAUGGUUUUCACUUCAAGUGAGCCUGAUUGUGUUGUUUUUAAGGGUGGGAGUGAGCAAACCUUUGAAGAGAGUGCUGAGGUAGAAUCAAAACUUUUGUGGACAAAUGUCAAGUAAACAUUAUGUGAAUAUGAUUUCGUUAAAUUUUUUGUAAGCCAGUAUAGUAGGAGGCUACCAUAGCUGUUGAGGAUUUUGUUAAAAUUUUAGUAAAUCAAUAAAGUAAUAUUUUUCCCCUUGGUAUUACCGUGGUGUUAU